Molecule: ribosomal RNA, 253 nt
Filed under: uncultured bacterium
Lineage: Bacteria
Description: partial 16S ribosomal RNA
Rfam family: Bacterial small subunit ribosomal RNA
Source: RNAcentral
UACAGAGGUCCUUAGCGUUGUUCGGAUUCACUGGGCGUAAAGGGUGUGUAGGAGGCUGGGUAAGUCAAAUGUGAAAUCUCUCCGCCCAACGGAGAAACUGCAUCUGAAACUGCUCGGCUCGAGGGUCAAAAGGGGAAGCGGAAUUCUCGGUGUAGCGGUGAAAUGCGUAGAUAUCGAGAGGAACACCAAUGGCGAAAGCAGCUUCCUAGGAGACUCCUGACUCUGAAACACGAAAGCUAGGGGAGCAAACGGG